AAAUUGAAGAGUUUGAUCAUGGCUCAGAUUGAACGCUGGCGGCAGGCUUAACACAUGCAAGUCGAACGGUAGCAGGAAGGAAGCUUGCUUUCUUUGCUGACGAGUGGCGGACGGGUGAGUAAUGCUUGGGGAUCUGGCUUAUGGAGGGGGAUAACGACGGGAAACUGUAGCUAAUACCGCGUAGUAUCGAGAGAUGAAAGACUGGGACCGCAAGGCCAGUUGCCAUAAGAUGAGCCCAAGUGGGAUUAGGUAGUUGGUGGGGUAAAGGCCUACCAAGCCGACGAUCUCUAGCUGGUC
RNAcentral lists this ribosomal RNA (297 nucleotides) under Glaesserella parasuis. RNAcentral's name for it is "partial 16S ribosomal RNA". It matches the Rfam family "Bacterial small subunit ribosomal RNA", at positions 1 to 292 of the family's 1533-position model. The record is from RNAcentral. Lineage: Bacteria; Pseudomonadati; Pseudomonadota; Gammaproteobacteria; Pasteurellales; Pasteurellaceae.